AAUGAACGCUGGCGGCGCGCCUAAUACAUGCAAGUCGAGCGAGAAGACGUAGCAAUACGUUUGUAAAGCGGCGAACGGGUGAGGAAUACAUGGGUAACCUACCCUAGGGUGGGGAAUAACUAGCCGAAAGGUUAGCUAAUACCGCGUACGCUCCUUGGACUUCGGUUCAGGGAGGAAAGCGAUGCCGAGGGUAUCGCGCUCUUGGAUGGGCUCAUGUCCUAUCAGCUUGUUGGGAGGUAACGGCUCACCAAGGCUUCGACGGGUAGCUGGUCUGAGAGGACGAUCAGCCACACUGGCACUGCGACACGGGCCAGACUCCUACGGGAGGCAGCAGUAAGGAAUAUUGCGCAAUGGGCGAAAGCCUGACGCAGCGACGCCGC
Molecule: ribosomal RNA, 380 nt
Filed under: uncultured bacterium
Lineage: Bacteria
Description: bacterial SSU rRNA
Rfam family: Bacterial small subunit ribosomal RNA
Source: RNAcentral